AGAGAUGUGUGAUGACGCAUAUCAAUAAGCGGAGGAAAAGAAACUAACAAGGAUUCCCUUAGUAACGGCGAGUGAAGCGGGAAGAGCUCAAAUUUGAAAUCUUCAAGGUUCUACCUUGACGAAUUGUAGUUUAUAGAAGUGUUUUCUGUUAGUAGAGUGGCAAAAGUUCUUUGGAAUAGGACAUCAUAGAGGGUGAGAAUCCCGUAUUUGGUCAUUCUUUCUAGCUUUGUGAUACACUUUCAACGAGUCGGAUUGUUUGGGAAUGCAGUCCAAAAUGGGUGGUAAAUUUCAUCUAAAGCUAAAUAUUGGCGAGAGACCGAUAGCGAACAAGUACCGUGAGGGAAAGAUGAAAAGAACUUUGAAAAGAGAGUUAAACAGUACGUGAAAUUGUCAAAAGGGAAGCGUUUGACACCAGUGUUGUUUUUCCGAAAAUCAAUUACGAAUGUUUUGUUUUUGAGGAGUUAUGACUUCAUCGGCUUGCUCCUUUCUUUAUGAAACUUUCUUAAUGCACUUUUCGGUUAACAAGUCAACAUCAAUUUCUUUUGUUGUAAAAGGGUAUGAGGAAGGUGGCUUUCUUUUCGGAGAAAGUGUUUAUAGCCUUGUACCUCUGCAAUCGGAGAGAUUGAGGUCUGCAGCGUAGAUCCUUCGGGGUUAGAUACAUUUGUGCUAAGCUAUAGCCUUUUCAUAGACAACUUGUUGACUAUGCUCAGUCAUGUAGCUUACUCGCUUAUGCUAUUUUACCUACGCUUAGGAUGUUGAAGUCAUCGUAUCGCGC
Molecule: ribosomal RNA, 775 nt
Filed under: uncultured Neocallimastigales
Lineage: Eukaryota; Fungi; Neocallimastigomycota; Neocallimastigomycetes; Neocallimastigales
Description: partial large subunit ribosomal RNA
Rfam family: Eukaryotic large subunit ribosomal RNA
Source: RNAcentral